RNAcentral lists this unclassified non-coding RNA (204 nucleotides) under uncultured fungus. RNAcentral describes it as "sequence contains ITS1". The record is from RNAcentral. Lineage: Eukaryota; Fungi.
GUAUUUCAUUGCAUUUAAGCUAUGUACAUUCGUUAAAUAAAUAAAGUGUAUGUAAAACAAGGGAAGACCUUCAAUCGCAAGCGAUCUACUAAUCUCCCUUGAAAGAUGCACAGGUGUAUAAAGGAUAUGAGGAUGAGCACUUGUAAAACCAGCUCAAUCCUCAAAGGUUCAUUAAUGAUCCUUCCGCAGGUUCACCUACGGAAA